UACGUAGGGUGCAAGCGUUAAUCGGAAUUACUGGGCGUAAAGCGUGCGCAGGCGGUUAUGUAAGACAGUUGUGAAAUCCCCGGGCUCAACCUGGGAAUUGCAUUUGUGACUGCAUAGCUAGAGUACGGGAGAGGGUACUGGAAUUCCUGGUGUAGCGGUGAAAUGCGCAGAGAUCAGGAGGAACACCGAUGGCGAAAGCAGGUACCUGGACCAUUACUGACACUCAGCUGCGAAAGCUAGGGGAGCAAACAGG
RNAcentral lists this ribosomal RNA (253 nucleotides) under uncultured bacterium. RNAcentral describes it as "partial 16S ribosomal RNA". It matches the Rfam family "Bacterial small subunit ribosomal RNA", at positions 524 to 776 of the family's 1533-position model. The record is from RNAcentral.